This 581-nucleotide ribosomal RNA is filed under the name uncultured soil bacterium. RNAcentral's name for it is "bacterial SSU rRNA". It matches the Rfam family "Bacterial small subunit ribosomal RNA", at positions 35 to 660 of the family's 1533-position model. The record is from RNAcentral.
GCUGGCGGCAGGCUUAACACAUGCAAGUCGAGCGGGCGUAGCAAUACGUCAGCGGCAGACGGGUGAGUAACGCGUGGGAACGUACCUUUUGGUUCGGAACAACACAGGGAAACUUGUGCUAAUACCGGAUAAGCCCUUACGGGGAAAGAUUUAUCGCCGAAAGAUCGGCCCGCGUCUGAUUAGCUAGUUGGUGAGGUAACGGCUCACCAAGGCGACGAUCAGUAGCUGGUCUGAGAGGAUGAUCAGCCACAUUGGGACUGAGACACGGCCCAAACUCCUACGGGAGGCAGCAGUGGGGAAUAUUGGACAAUGGGCGCAAGCCUGAUCCAGCCAUGCCGCGUGAGUGAUGAAGGCCCUAGGGUUGUAAAGCUCUUUUGUGCGGGAAGAUAAUGACGGUACCGCAAGAAUAAGCCCCGGCUAACUUCGUGCCAGCAGCCGCGGUAAUACGAAGGGGGCUAGCGUUGCUCGGAAUCACUGGGCGUAAAGGGUGCGUAGGCGGGUCUUUAAGUCAGGGGUGAAAUCCUGGAGCUCAACUCCAGAACUGCCUUUGAUACUGAGGAUCUUGAGUUCGGGAGAGGUGA